RNAcentral lists this non-coding RNA (27 nucleotides) under Drosophila virilis. RNAcentral also lists the same sequence under 8 other names. Lineage: Eukaryota; Metazoa; Arthropoda; Insecta; Diptera; Drosophilidae. The record is from RNAcentral.
CCCUGGUGGUCUAGUGGUUAGGAUUCG